CCUUCCGAAACCACCAUAAACAUCCCCUUACACACUGAAGCUCCCAUUCUUAUUAAGCCGAUCACCACAGUCCCAAUGCCCAUCAUCUCACUCGCCAGUUGGGACGGCGUCACUGAAUUAUCCUCCGUCGAACAUUGAACUCUUUAUAAGAAAAAAUAACUCAGGAUAAAGAAACCAGCAUACAAAAUGCCUCCCCCCGAAUCAAGCCAACACUCCUCUGAGG
This 223-nucleotide long non-coding RNA is filed under the name Panax ginseng (ginseng). RNAcentral describes it as "long non-coding RNA (PGIN_LNC004526)". Lineage: Eukaryota; Viridiplantae; Streptophyta; Magnoliopsida; Apiales; Araliaceae. The record is from RNAcentral.